Molecule: non-coding RNA, 103 nt
Organism: Chlorocebus sabaeus (green monkey)
Lineage: Eukaryota; Metazoa; Chordata; Mammalia; Primates; Cercopithecidae
Source: RefSeq, a predicted model, not a curated record
AAUAUUAGGAAUGAUAUAGAUAAUAUUAGGAAUGAUAUAGAGAAUAUUAGCAUGGCCGUUGUGCAAGGACAACACACAAAUUUACGAAGUGUUACAUAGUUUU